AGCCGGGCAGGCGCCUCCCCCACUGCGUGUCGCUCCUGCUCACAGGGUGGACGGGGCCAAGGCCACUGGUUUGGGUGCUGUUCGUUCCACCUCUGCUGGGAGGAUGGGGUGCCCGUCUUCUCAAAGUGCGGCUGUGGGGGUCCAGGUGCCCCCUGCCCAGGAGUCUCGGGAAGCCAGCACCCAGACUUGGGGUUGCCUCCCAGAGCUGCAGAACCCAGGAGGCUCAUGAGACGAGUGCGCAGGGUGGGCGCACAGGCCCGCAGACGAGGGGGCUCUCCCAGCCCUGCUGACGGCACCUGCUCGCCCCCAGGGGCGUCCUCGCUGCCGCCGGGAUGGGGACUUAAGAUGGGCACCAUCUUAUUUAUUUUCUUUCUUUCUUUUUUUUUUUAAAGAUUGAAACCUGGGCUAACAGCUGUUGCCAAUCUUCCUCUUUUUUUUUAAGGAUUGGUACCUGGGCUAACAACUGUUGCCAAUCUUUUUUUUUUUUUUUUUCUGCUUUAUCUCCCCAAACUCCUCCUGUACAUAGUUGUAUAUCUUAGUUGCCGGUCCAUCUUGUUGUGGGAUGUGGGACGCCGCCUCAACGCGGCCGGAUGAGCGGUGCCAUGUCCGGGCCCAGGAUCCGAACCCUGGGCCGCCGCAGCGGAGUGCGCAAACUUAACCACUCGGCCACGGAGCCGGCCCCUCUUUCUUUCUUUAUACUUUGUUCCACAAAGCACUCAAGGCAACAUUUGGCAAAGACCACGAGGACAGACAGAGGAGAUAAAAAUAUGUUCACUGGGCGUUCCCUUUUUAAAAUAAGAAGCAGUGGGGGUUGUUGCUAUUUUUACAUAGACCAGAAACUCUGCUGGAGGAGGCACAAGUGGUAUGAUUUUAAGUGUUGGAAAAAAUGGUCAGAAUCUCCUCCAGGCUGCAGCUUCAGAGAACCACCUGCUGAGCCCCGCACAUCUGUUAGGUGCUGCCCGCUGAGCCCCGCAUGUCCGUUGGGAGUCGCCCGCACGUCCAUUGGGUGCUGUCUGCUGAAUCCCUGCAUGUCCAUUGGGUGCUGGUGAGCCUGUGACCCAGACGGCAGGCCCCGGCUCAGCUGCAGGGCCUUGCCCCGGAUCCACCAGACGGCCACGGGUAACACCACCCCGAACGCCGUUCCCCGGGCAGCUCCACAGAGAAGAGCCGAGAACGGCCGUGUCCGAGGAUGUGACAGCGGUCGGUGUGUGUUCACGUGACACCGAGACCCUCCAGUCGGAGGAGAGCUGCUGGAGCAGGGGUUCACUCUGCACACACGGCCGUCAUUUCCACAGACGGUGGCCCACGAGCCUCCGGGGGGACAUCACUGCAGAAGAUGGUGGGCUCCUGGACGUCGGGACUUUAAAUAAAACUAAGUAAAAACAAAGGAUAUUUCACAUUAACCUUUAGGUGGCGGCUUUGAUGCUUUGUGUCCACUGACACCUCCUGUCAGCUCUUUGCGUCUGUGAGCCACACGCACACUCCCUGAGGGGACCCUCACCCUUGAAGACUCUCCAGGUGCUUCUGUUUCAGACGCUUCGCCCCAGAAAGUCGUCAUCUAGAAUUUUACAAAUUCAGUGUCGCUUCCUUGUCUUUCUAACGAGGCGUCUUUGCUGUUUAUCUUUUAACUAUGAUUAUGUAUUUACCCACAGCUGUUUACUCAGCGUUACCCUCCUUUGUGUACUAAACACCUCUAAAGUGGAUACCUUAGGAAGAAGUUACUGGGGCCACCCCCACGGCCUGGUGGUUGAGUUCGUUCGACGUGCUCCACUUCGGCAGCCUGUGUUCACUUCCCGGCACAGACCUACACUUCUCAUGGGCGGCUAUGCUGUGGCGGCAACCCAUGUACAAAACAGAGGAAGGCUGGCACAGCUGUUAACUCAGGGCAAAUCUUCCUCAGCAAAAAAAAAAAAGUUACUAAAUACAUUUUGUUGUAUUCUCUCUUUGGAAUUUUUACUAACAUUAUUCAGCUGGAAAUAAUUUCAUAAAAGGAAAUAAAAUACCUGCUCAUCACAGA
Molecule: long non-coding RNA, 2017 nt
Filed under: Equus caballus (horse)
Lineage: Eukaryota; Metazoa; Chordata; Mammalia; Perissodactyla; Equidae
Description: lncRNA (ENSECAG00000054103.1)
Source: RNAcentral